Molecule: long non-coding RNA, 223 nt
Filed under: Elaeis guineensis (African oil palm)
Lineage: Eukaryota; Viridiplantae; Streptophyta; Magnoliopsida; Arecales; Arecaceae
Description: long non-coding RNA (EGUI_LNC030266)
Source: RNAcentral
GACAUUCCAUGAGAAAUCAUGAGAACGGUUAUCUAAAUCAUUGAUCUAGUGAAUUCAAAAGUUAUAGAUCUUUUAGUGGAUAUAUUUCUGUAAUUAUUUCUUUCGUUACUUUAUUAGUAGUUAACAAUCAAUCUUCAUAUCUUCUUCAAAAUUUGCUUGAGCAAAAGUUUAAACAUACUUUAUAUACACAAUUCCUCGUAGGAUCAAUCCAUACUCGUCGGAA